GCCAGGUGUGGUGGAGCACACCUGUUAUCCCAGCAGCUUGGGAGGCUGAGGCAGGAGGAUCGUGAGUUCAAAGUCACCCCCAACAACUUACUGAGGCCCUAAGCAAUUCAGUGAACCCUGUCUUAC
Molecule: small RNA, 126 nt
Filed under: Marmota monax (woodchuck)
Lineage: Eukaryota; Metazoa; Chordata; Mammalia; Rodentia; Sciuridae
Source: RNAcentral